Molecule: long non-coding RNA, 6879 nt
Filed under: Homo sapiens (human)
Lineage: Eukaryota; Metazoa; Chordata; Mammalia; Primates; Hominidae
Description: HSALNT0040458
Source: RNAcentral
CUCUUCUUUUCUCUAUCUACAUUCAAUCCUCUGGUAUUCUCAUGGCUUUCAAUAUCAUCUAUACUCUGCUAACAGCUAAAUUCUCUAGUUCAAUUCUCUUACCUGAACUCUAAAUUCAUACCCAAUUGCUUAUUUGACAUUACUGCUUGGAUAUCCAAUACACAUCUCAAACUAAAUAUUUCUAAAACUGAAUGGUUCAUCACUUUCCAAACCUGGUCCUUUUGAAGGCUAUGCCAUCUUAGUUAACUGCAAAUAUAUCUUUUCAAUUGCUCAGGCUAUAAACUUCAAGUCAUCUUUAAUUUCUCCUUUUCUUUUUUCACCCCAAAUUUGAUUUUUCAACACAUCUUCUUGGCUCCUUCUUCAAAAUACAUCUAGAAUCUGACUUCUUCUCACCAUUUCAACCUCUACCACUUGAUCUGAGCCACCAUCUUCUCUUGACUAAAUCUAUUGUGAUAGAUCUCUAACUGGUUUCCCUAGUUCUAUGCUGUCCUCGCUCUAAUCCAUUCUUUACCACAAAACCCAGAAUAAUCCAUUUAAAACUAAGCUCAAAGAUAUCAUUCCAUUACUCAAAAUUCUUCAGUGUUUCCUCAUCUCACUCACUCAGGUUAAAAACCAAAAUCUUUACUAUGGCCUACAAGACCCUACAUAAAUCUGGCUCUUCAUGACCUCUAAGAUUUCAUAUCAAACUAUUAUGCAUCUGGCUCAUGCUGCCCCAGUACUCCUAGCUCUGGUCUCCCAAUGAUGUCAUCAUGUUCCUGCCUUAGGGGCUUUGCACAGGCUUUCCUCAGAUAUUCUCAUUGCUUACUUCUUUGCCAUUUUAAGUUAUUGCCAAAAAAUAUCACUUUCUCAGUCAAUAACCCCGACUACCCUGUUUAAAAUGUACUUAGUGCCCAGAACUACUUACCCUUUUUUCUGCUUUGUUUUUCUUUCAUGUAAUGUCACCUUUUAAGAUACUCUAUAAUUUACUUUUCUUUUUUUUUUUUUUUUUUUGAGACAACGUCUUGCCCUGUUGCCCAGUCUAGAGUGCAGUGGCACAAUCUCGGCCCACUGCAACCUCAACCUCCUAGGCUCAAGCCUUCCUCCCACCUUAUAAUGUACUUUUUCACUUUUAUUUAUUAUCUACCUUCUUCCAGUGGAAUAUAUAAACUCCACCAAAGCAAUCAUUUUUGUCUUGUUUUUUAUUUCCCCUCUCUCUGUCUCCACUGUUUUAUUUCCAGUACCCAGAAUAGUUCCUGGAACAAAAUAGGUUUUUAAAUAAAUGAUUUUUAAGUGACUCAGUUAAUAAAGAAGUUUAACUGGCUUUGUGGCCCUGAUAGGACAGGUCACUUAACCUUACAUCCUGUGUAUCCUGAUUUGUAAAAUGUGAUUCAUGAUUCUUAUUAAGGUGUCUUCCACACUCUGAAAUUAAAGUGAUGCUCACAGAUCCAUAGUUAUGGAAGGAAGCCCAGUGAAGUUCUGGGGCACAGCCUGGCUGUUUGAAGACGGUUGUAAGCCAAGCUGCUGUGGCCAUGAGAAAGGCACCCAGUGGUUCCUGUGAUAAAGACUGAGUUUCAACAGAACUUGGUGUUAAGGAGAAUCAGAGGUUGCACUACCCUCUCUAAAAUAGUCAUAAAUAAAAUCUGUCUGGUGGUUUCAUCUUUAUAUCUUUUUUCUGCUUUGGGCAACCCAAGCCUUGUUCACUGCCUCUACUCAGCAUGAUUUUGUAAAUGCUAGCCACACUACAGAGUUUAAAGGUAUGAAAUAUCUAAUUAAAAUGAGACUUCUGGUGGGAAUAGCUUUCAGAGAGUAGUAAUAUGACUAGACAAUAUUUAACAAAAAAAAAAGUCUGAGUCUAGGAGUCAAGGGAACUGGAUCCUAAAUCUGGUUCUGUCACUGUGUGACUUCAGAGAAGUCACUUAGCCUUUAUGCCUCAGUUUUCUCAUUUGUCAAACCGGGAUUUGCCAGCCCUCAAAGGAUAAUUGUAGGGAUUGCAUAAAAUAACAGAUAAAAAAGUACUUUUAAAGUUUACAAAUGCCCUGCAUGUUUCAUCCUUUUAAAGCACUAACGAUGUGUUAUGUUCUGAAAAUGACAGAGAAUUAAAUGUGAUCUUCACUCAUAAAACUAGGAGAUACAAUCCUACAGGUUCACAAUUUACCUAACAGGAUAUGACAUGAUCACUGGGAGAUACUCCAGAAAAGAGGCUGUUGACAGAGUGGAAAAGUCAGGCAUAUGCAAUUAUAAUGUUGAAUCCAAUCAUCAUCAUGAGUUCAGGGUAGAUAUUUAUGGAUCAUUAUGGAGACCAGGAGGAACCUGACAUUUUGAGUGGGUGGUAGAAGAUUUUCUUUGGAGAGGUAAAGUUAUCAAAGACAAAGUCACUUCCAACUUAAGAAGCAGAUAUUUUACAAGCUGUACAUUUCAUCCAUUUAACAGGCCCUAGCAUUUGCUGCAUACAGAAAUUAAGUUUGGUUGACAUGAGAGCAUACUGGAUAUUCUGAGUGCCACACUUGGUACCAGCACAGCUGUAAUCAGGACAGAUUGCAAUAAGGAUACCUUUUUCUGGGUCCACAGAUACUGACAAAAUCCAUGUUUUCUUUUUCCAGGGCCCAGCUCAGAAAUCAGCGCUGAUCAAAUAAAGCACACAUUCCCUUUGGCACUAAAUUUGACUCGGCAGCGUCUGUACAGGGAUCCUGGCAAAACCAGAACAUUCAGCCUUUAGAAUCACUGGGGAUUGGCUCACCGCUGUGUGGAAGCACAACUGUUAUUUCUGAAUGCCAUCCACGUGGCUCAGCCACUGAGAUGAAGCACCAUUCAGAAGAAGCAAAUGUGUGCUCUAUGUUUCACCCAGUCUGAUUUGGCCAAGAUCACACAGAUAGGUUCUACAAAGAAAGCACUAUUGCCAUUAUCAUCGAAAUACAAAUCUACUUUUGGAAGACAAGUGCCUUAUAAAUACACCAAUUGAAAAACAAGCAAAGUGAAUUUAAGCUACGUAAGUAUGAGGAGAUUCUUUAACAGAAAUGCCCUCUUCUAAGUUUCUCUGCCAAAUCUUCUUACUACAUUUAAAGUUCUCAAAACCUUUUUGUUUCAUGUCCUUGAUUCUGGUCUCUUCAAUGACUUUAGCUACUCUUUAGUACUUAUACAGAGAAACUUCUCUUAUAUGAUACAGUCAGGGAAUGCAAUAUCCCAGCUCUACAAUAUUCUGGCUUCUGGAAAGAUAUGCUUUUGACAUACCAUAUAACAUUUUCAACAGGUUUCGAACAAUAAUAAUACAUGAUAUUCUAUUACAUCAUAUUAUAUUAAAUCAUAUUAUAAUAAUAUAUGGGUACUUGUGCUGAAUGUAGUAUAAUCUUCUCCUGGUGACUCAUCAAGUAUUUUAGGAUCAUGGUUUGUCUGUUUUAUUGAUGCUCACAAAAGCAAAACAACUAUGCCAAAGUGCUGGUGAGUGAAGCAUUAUAUUGAAUAGAUUCCUGCUAAACCCGAGAACAUCUUUGCCCUGAAACUAUCUGGUAUCUAGAUAGCUCAUGGUAACCCUAGGCAUUUGCUGUCAACAUAACAAGAUCAGCUCUACUUAGUUUCCCAGAUCAAACAAGAUCAGUUGUGCUCUAUUUAGUGCAGUUUAACGUCUUCCUGUGAUUACAUUCAUUUAUGUUUUAGGUUUUUUUUCACAAUAGACUCCUUCUUUUGUUUUCAUUUCAGAUUGUCUCCAGGCUCCAAGAUUUUAUUUUUUCAUAGCAAUUUCUUCCCCUCGAUGCUUAUUUUAAUGCUAUGCACAAUAAAUUCCUCAAAAACUAGCCACUAACUGGUACUUACUGGCUAUGUUUUGUGAAACAAAAAUUACAGGAGGCCAUUGUUUUAGGAUGGAAUUCCUGCACUAGUCCCUAACAAAUUGGACCAAACCAAAACAGGGUCACUCAUGCUAAAUGGCACAUAAUCAAACUAAAGCUUUAAGAAAUCAAAUAGAUCCCAAAUGGACCAACUUUUCCUGAAAAUAGGAGACUCCAGUCUACCUGAGUCAGAGUAAUAAGGAAGUCCUCUCUCUUUGAACCUGCACAAAAAAGUAACCUGAUAUUAAAUAAUCAGUUAUUUUUAUUCUUUUUUUUAUGUGGGGUCUCACUCUGUCACCCAAGCUGGGGUGCAGAGGUGCAAUAAUGGGUCAUUGCAGCAUAGAAAUACUAGGUUCAAGAGAUCCUCUCCCCUCACCCUCCUGAGUAGCUGGGACUAACUACAGGCACACACUACCACGCCCAGCCAAUUUUUUAUUUUGUUUUUUGUAGAGAUGAGGUCUCACUUUGUUACCCAGGCUGCUCUCAAACUCUGGACAUCAAGCAAUUCUCUUGCCUCAUCCUCCCAAAGUGCUGAAAUUAUAGGCAUGAGCCACUGGGCCCAGCCCCACUCAGAUUUUUAUUUUAUUUAUUUUAUUUUAUUUUAUUUUAUUCUAAUUUUUUUUUAUUUUUCAGAUGGAGUCUUGCACUGUCACCCAGGCUGGAGUGCAGUGGUGUGAUCUUGGCUCACUGCAACCUCCGCCUCCCAGGUUCAAGCGAUUCUCUUGCCUCAGCCUCCUGAGUAGCUGGGACUAUACGCGCACACCACCACACCUGGCUAAUUUUUGUAUUAUUAGUAGAGAUGGGAUUUCACCAUGUUGGCCAGGCUGCUCUCGAACUCCUGGCCUCCUGAUCCGCCCACCUCAGCCUCCCAAAGUGUUAGGAUUACAGGUGUGAACCACCGUGCCCAGCCUCAGUUAUUUUUACAUUGCUCUUUUCCUUGUCCCCCCUUUACAAAACCCACUGUUCUGCCAUUGCCCAGUGGGAGCUUUACUCUAUCUUGAAGAAUAGAAGCUGCCCCAAUUCAUGAGCCACAGAUAAAAACCAAUUCUAUCUAUAACUAAAUUUGUUGUAAUUUUGUCUUUUGACAAUUUUAUAUGGCGAAAAUAGCCAUUGUGCUAAGUGAAUAACCAAAAUGUUCUUGUAAAUAACAUAAAUUUGUGGUUUCCUAGUAUACUCUGCAGAGCUCUGGGAUUCUCUAGAUGUACUUCACUGACCACUGUGAUAUGAGGAGGCAGCUAAACUCAUGUCAGUCUGCGCAUCCCAUAUCCUUCAAGCUGAGCAACUCUGUCCUAAUCCUUUUUCUUUUUAUUUAUUUAUUGAGACAGGGUCUCACUCUGUCAUCUAGACUGGAGUGCAGUGGCUCCAUCACAGCUCACUGCAGCCUCGACCUCCUGGGAUCAAGUAAUCGUCCUGCCUCAGCCUCCUGAGUAGCUGGGACUACAGGCAUGUGCCACCACACUCAGCUAAUUUUUGUAUGAUUUUAGACGUGGGGUCUCCCUAUGUUGCCCAGGCUAGUCUCAAACAUCUAGUUUCAAGCAAUCCUCCUGCCUCAGCCUCCCAAAGUGCUGGGAUUAUGGGCAAGAGACACUGCACCUGGCCCUUGUCUGUUUUAUAUAGUGGGUUUCUACACAAGAUUGUGUGUAAAUGUGUUUUAUAGCAAAAAAAAUAGUUUGACAAUUAGUAACAUUGACCCAGCUGCUAAUUGACAGUGAAUAUUUCACUUCAGUGACUCUACUUGUUUGUUGACAAAGCUACUACUGAGCAGGGGCAGUGAUAUUGUCAAGUCCUGUUUGUGUGUGUGUGUGUGUGUGUGUGUGUGUGUGUGUGUGUACAAAUAUUUUUAAAUGCUUACCAAUGGUUCAAUACUGAAUAAAGCCUAUGUACUCCCAAUGAUUACUGUCCAAAAUAGCAUUAUGCAAAGUACUUAACUGAGCUUCCACCUUAUGAUUCUAAAAGCUAAGCAAAAAUGCUUGUCACUCUUUUGAAGAUAUGGGUUAUAAUUAUUGGAGAAGCACGUUCACAUGCAGUUUGACUCUUCUCCACGUUGGAGUAAUUACCCUGCAUUGUAGCUGGACUCAGGGGAUUUUGAAUGUAGUAAUGAAUUGCUGCGAACCUUCCAAGAAAUACAGAACCAUAUGUCUCAGGAAAUGGGUUGGAGGCUGUAGCUAUAGAUAAGAACGUGGGAAGGGAAUGCUAGUACUUCUAAAGACAACUGUGUAAGGUUAUGAAUUGAAAUUCAUUGCUAAUGUGGAUGAAGCUGGAAUGUAUUUUUCCCAUGAUGUUUAGUGUGGAAUUUGUCAUAGUAGCAGGAAAUUGGAUGCUAAACUUUUAAGUUGCUUUCCAGUGAUUAAAGAACAGAAUGUCCAGAUUCUUAGAAUCUCCAUACUAGAAGUUCAAAUUUACAUGUAGCUUAUGUUAUCUGGAUGGCUACAAUUAUAAACUCUCAGAAGCUUAGGCCAGAUCAUAAAAAGGCCAAAAUAUGAGAAUGAAACCACUGAGAAUUAAAAUACAGAAGUUGAAAGUCACCAACUGUAGAAGUUUCAUAUUCAAGAGAUAUUUUCUUUUUCCUGAGGAGACAUUUUCUUUUUCCUGAGGAGAUCAAAAUCCAGUCAAAUAAUCAAAUGUAAAUAAAAAAUAUAACAAUCAAUCAAAUCCAUCUGUAGAAAGGAUGGGAUGUGUUUAUAGAAGCCCAGUAAUUCAAACCGAAGCUAGAAAAGGUGGUAUCAAAACUAAAGAUUUAUAAAAAUUUGUACUAUCCAAGAAGAAGAGAGACUAUAUCUAGGUCACCUGAGGUAAAUUCUAUCAAUAAAUAAGGGUGGUUCACCAAGCUUACAGCCUGCUAAGACAAUAUUCCAGAUCUCAAGCUUUCUUACAGACAGGAGACAAUCUUUCAGAUUUCAAGAAAGAAAGAAUAGAUAAAAUAGACAUCUACAGUCAGUUGACUUUAAGUAAAAGAGAUAAUCCUAUAUCAUCUGAGUGGCCCUAAUUCAAUCAGUUGAAAAGCUUUACAGCAGAAUGGUUUCCUGGAAGAAGAAAUUCUACCUAUCAGCUUCAGCUUGAUACAUUUUGGACUUGUCUA